RNAcentral lists this transfer RNA (68 nucleotides) under Neolaxta sp. B107. RNAcentral describes it as "tRNA-His". The record is from RNAcentral. Lineage: Eukaryota; Metazoa; Arthropoda; Insecta; Blattodea; Blaberidae.
ACUUAAGUAGUUUAAAUAAAAUAUUGAUUUGUGGUGUCAGUGAUAUAUACAUACAUAUAUCUUGAGUU